Molecule: ribosomal RNA, 551 nt
Filed under: uncultured bacterium
Lineage: Bacteria
Description: bacterial SSU rRNA
Rfam family: Bacterial small subunit ribosomal RNA
Source: RNAcentral
CUACGGGAGGCAGCAGUGGGGAAUAUUGCACAAUGGGCGCAAGCCUGAUGCAGCAACGCCGCGUGAGGGAUGAAGGCCUUAGGGUCGUAAAGCUCUUUCGCCUGUGAUGAUAAUGACAGUAGCAGGUAAAGAAACCCCGGCUAACUCCGUGCCAGCAGCCGCGGUAAUACGGAGGGGGCUAGCGUUGUUCGGAAUUAUUGGGCGUAAAGCGCGCGCAGGUGGUUUCUUAAGUCUGAUGUGAAAGCCCACGGCUCAACCGUGGAGGGUCAUUGGAAACUGGGAGACUUGAGUGCAGAAGAGGAAAGUGGAAUUCCAUGUGUAGCGGUGAAAUGCGUAGAGAUAUGGAGGAACACCAGUGGCGAAGGCGACUUUCUGGUCUGUAACUGACACUGAGGCGCGAAGGUGUGGGGAGCAAACAGGAUUAGAUACCCUGGUAGUCCACACCGUAAACGAUGAAUGCUAGUUGCACGGUUCAUUUGCAUACUGUGUGACGCAGCUAACGCAUUAAGCAUUCCGCCUGGGGAGUACGGUCGCAAGAUUAAAACUCAAAG